CUACCCCCGGGCUACUUUCCUUGAUCCCGGGGAUACCUUCACUGAACAACUUCCUUUUGGACUACUUUUUCACUCCCGGUGGCGGGGGUUACAUGCGACCACAACCAAUACUGCCCGGCUACUUUCCUUAACUAUGUGUCACGUGAUCGGAUAACCUGAAUGCCACGUGAUGGGAAUACAAACGUGCGAUAUGAACUCACGUUUUAAAUAAGACCAGACGUUUAGGCGUAAUACAGACCGUUGUGUGGUGUGUUUGUUAUGUUUGAUAACAAUUUUGUAAAAUUGUACAUAAUUCUAUAAUAAAUAAUGAAAGGUUUCAAAAUUUAUGUUGUUUCAGUGAAUAUAUUCGUAAACAUGAA
Long non-coding RNA from Dreissena polymorpha, 359 nucleotides. RefSeq lists it as uncharacterized. The record is from RefSeq and is a predicted model, not a curated record. NCBI's taxonomy places the organism in Eukaryota, Metazoa, Mollusca, Bivalvia, Myida, Dreissenidae. The transcript is spliced from 2 exons.